This 440-nucleotide ribosomal RNA is filed under the name uncultured bacterium. Its description in RNAcentral is "partial 16S ribosomal RNA". It matches the Rfam family "Bacterial small subunit ribosomal RNA", at positions 338 to 795 of the family's 1533-position model. The record is from RNAcentral.
CCUACGGGCGGCUGCAGUGGGGGAUAUUGCACAAUGGGGGAAACCCUGAAGCAGCAACGCCGCGUGGAGGAUGAAGGUUUUCUGAUUGUAAACUCCUUUUGUUAGAGAAGAUAAUGACGGUAUCUAACCAAUACGCACCGGCUAACUCCGUGCCAGCCGCCGCGGUAAUACGGAGGGUGCAAGCGUUACUCGGAAUCACUGGGCGUAACGCGCGCGUAGGCGGGAUAGCAAGUCAGGUGUGAAAUCCUAGGGCUUAACCAUAGAACUGCAGUUGAAACUGUUAUUCGAGAGUAUGGGAGAGGUAGGUGGAAUUCCAGGUGUAGGAGUGAAAUCCGUAGAUAUCUGGAGGAACAUCAGUGGCGAAGGCGACUAGCUGGCACAUAACUGACGCUGAGGAGCGAAAGCGUGGGUAGCAAACAGGAUUAGAUACCCGUGUAGUC